Molecule: long non-coding RNA, 3198 nt
Organism: Spinacia oleracea (spinach)
Lineage: Eukaryota; Viridiplantae; Streptophyta; Magnoliopsida; Caryophyllales; Amaranthaceae
Exons: 8
Source: RefSeq, a predicted model, not a curated record
UGUAUGAAAAGUUGCCCAAAAAAUAUGGGCGGUUAACAUAAAAUUUUCAGAACUCCAAAAUCACUCUCCUAGUCUUCUCUCUCCUCUCUCCUCUCGAAUUCUCUUUCCUCCAUAGCUCCGCCCAGAUGCUGUAUCUGUGUCUGUGUCUGUGUCUGUGUCUGUGUCUGUGUCUAAUUCAUCUUUCUCAUGUUUCUUACCUGAUUUUUGUUGGGUGAACAAAUUAUUCCGAUUUUGAUUGAUUUAUCUGUUAUUAAUUUCUGGAAUCAACUCAAGUAUAAUCAAUUUGAUGGAAAAGAAAAAGGAUGCGCCGGUUUUUGUGAAUUUAUGGGUGUUUUCGUGUUCGUCGGAACAAACCCCGAUCUACCACCGCCGCCUAAGCCCGUUCCUGCUUCCUACUUCUCCCCUCAUUCCUCGUUGCUCACUGCCUCACCAACCGGAAUCGACGCCCGGAGGCUACCAACGAUCUUUGAUUGCCAUUGUUAUACAGAAGUAUACAGAAAGGAAAAAGCAAAACCGGAAUAGCUGAUAGGAAGGGCUCUCCUGAAAUGCAAGUAUACUCGGUUAUACCAUUAGAGGGUUUCUCACCCAAUGAACUUCAGGUUGGCGAAAACAUAAAAUAUGUCAACUCAGUGAAGGCCGGUUUGGAACAAAAUAUGUCAACUCAAAAGAAACUCAAGAUAGUGCUCAUGUGGAAGAAUGCCAUUAAUAUACCGGGAUGAUAUUGUAAACUUUGCUUGGGAAUUGGUCAAUGAUUAUCUAUUACUAUGACUAUUCUUUGGUCAUGGGGUGCCUUGAUCGCGUGUUUGCUGGAAUGGUGAGUGGUACCUCUCAAUUGUUCCACGACUGGUAUGUCUCUAUCAACAAGCUCAAAUAGGUUUACUUUUGUAUGACUGUACGUCAGUACACACCUGAAAUGAUUAUUAAUGUUACUUACUUUGUACUACAUGUCAUUGUUUGUAUGUCGUAGCUUGAUGGUUUCUGCUUGUCGUUGUAUGCACUCAGGGAACUGGAGUUCUGCGCAGACAUUUUCAAAUGCCUGUAGAGUUCUUUUGCAUGAUAGAUUGCAUUUUCUAGAUCGUAUGCUAUAGUAUCGACAAAAGUAUUAUAGUUAGAAAAGUUGAUGGUCGUGUUAUGUUCCAUGAGGAUUUAGCACCUUAGUAAUGGAUACUCAGCGAGAAGCAACCGCAAUGACCACCACUACUUGCGGAUGGUCACAAGGGCCAUGGUGUCUCCGACUUGCAUCAAAGCCGAAACUUUUUGCCAUUUUGGCGCAAAAAGAACAAGGUACAUUUUGAUGAUGUUCAACAAGCUCGGUAUCUGCAGCAUCCGAGGAAAACUAAAGAGCCUGGAUGAUAAUACGAGCAGGAAAGGCCUUGCUGAAAUUUACGAUGUCAUAUCACUUUCAGGAAUGCAUUGUUUAAGCUUGAGACAGUAAGGAAACUGGUUAAGCAUAUGAUGCAAUCGAAAAGUCUCAUACUUUCAAAGAAUUUAAUGAGAGCAGGCAGGAGCUCUUGUGCUCUUCCAGAAGAUGCACAAGCUUGAGAUAAAGCCGAAUGUGGGGACCUUUUCGGCUAUUUUAAAUGCUUGCAGGUAUCUCCCUCUCUUUCACUGAAUUUAUCUUUAUUUUUUAAAGUACAAGCAUGAAACUUUGAGGUGAAUGACUGAAGGGUGAGUUGCUUAUCAAAAGUUUAACUGACAAGACAACAUUAUGUAGUAUCUCUGCGUUGCUUGACAAGGGUAAUGAAUUAGGACCCUAUCACUGUAUAGUUGGGAGUUGGAGCUGCAAGACUUGCCAUUCAAAAAUCCCAACAGGGGAAAAAAUAUCCCGCAUAUAACUGGAGUGAUUGUGAAAAGGAAAAUAAACUGCAGUGGUUUCUUGUUGAUUUGAUUUGAUGAUUAUGAAUUUGAAUCUUCUGCAAUUGAUUAAUUAUAUUGCUUACUGACUUUUUUAUUUUUUAAUGCAGUGGUAUAAAUGGCUCCUAAAAAAUCAAAGUGUCCACUUUAGUAGUGGAGUUUGCUUGUUGAACCAGAUUUGUCAUCAUAUUGGUCGUUGGGGAUUGAUUAAUGCCCUUGUUGUUGAAUGAUGCUACGGUCUUUGAUGUUGUUUGAAUUAUUUGUGCCGACAUUUUGACAGAGUUUUUGUGGCUGAUAUAUAUAUAUAUAUAUAUGUAUAUAUAUAUAUAUAUAUAUAUAUAUAUAUAUAUACAUAUAUAUAUAUAUAUGUCUAUUUUUUUUGGAUUUUUUGCCGUAUCCUUGCCGUACCCGUUUAUUGAAAUUUUAAUUUUGCCGUUUCUGGUCCCCGUACCCGUCCAGGUAUUUGACCCCGUAGUCCCGUACCCGUUUCUGUGUUACAUAGGUCAUAUAUAUGGUCAAAUGGCUUUCUUAUAAGGUUAUGAUACCAAGAUAGAUUAAGAGUGUAUCGAUUUCACUAUGGCUCGUAGAAUGUUACAUCUUGUUUUUCAGCAGGGAUAUUUUUAAGAUUAUGCCUUAUUCUUAAUAAGCAAUAAGUUCCCUUUGUUCAUACCCCCGUAUUGUUUAAUCUUUUUGCUUCAUUUCAGGUAUAAGGUACUUCUUUACUCUUGUGCGCUUAUCUUCAAUAACUCUCUAAUUACACUGACUCAGAGGUAAUCUGUGAAAAUUCCUCCUUUACUCUUGGUGUUUUACGGUGGUUGGGACUGUUGUAGUUUUCAUGGGUAUAUGCUGAUGCUGGUAUUCUUUUCAGGUGCUUGAGAGUGUUUGUAUUAGGGUGUUGUGAGGCUGUGCCGUGGGUGCAUUCCGUCUGUAUUGGCUCUUGAGUCUUUAGUAUUUUUAAUUUUCUCUUUUCUACGUCUCUCUCUGCUUUUCCUCUGUUUUGUUUUCCACUCUGCAGGGUGAGGCAGCAAGUUUGACGCAGUCAAAAUAGCAAAGUAAGGGCAUCCUGUAUAUUUUACAAGAGGUUAACUGAACGAAUUAGGCAGCAUGGGCACUUGAACUCGAAGAUUCCCCACGCGACUCUAGAACGAGAAAUGCUCAACUUAAGUAUUGCAAUUGAGUUUAUGUAAAGGUGGAAGUACAUAUUUUUGAACAACUUGUAGCAAUAUCUUUUGUAAUAAGUCCAUGUUGAUAGGAAGAACCGAAGAAGCCAUUACUUGCUUGUCUUUUGCGAACUAAGUGUACAAUAACAUUAGAUUUUUAUAUAUUUUAUAUUUUAUAGUACAA